GUAGUGUGCGGGAUACGUAAGCACCCUCCUCCUCCUCCCUCUCCCCCUCACCAAUCUACUUAACAAGCAAUAAAAGGCUCGCUCUGUGCACGCAUACAGGCACACUCCUUCGCACACGCGUAUAAAUCCCCUCCGCGGACGCACAUGCAUACGCAUACGAAAACAAAACCACGUCGUUCUCCGCCUUGAUAUUCGCACUUUUUCUUCUUUGAUCUUGCUGCAUGUUUGACCGUCUGCGGUGAGUGCCCUCCUCUUCCCGCUUUCUCUUUCUGUCCUUCGUUUUUUAUUUUCAUUUUGCGCAGAUAGCAAAAGAGGCAGCAUAUCUGCGCUUGUGUCUGUGCCUAUACCGCACCGCCAUACAGCGACGGACGAGAGGCGCCCACAGAACACACGGGGUCUCGCUGUCUUCGGCCCCCCUCUUCCCUCGACCUGUUUGUCGAGCGGUACUUGUGUCGUUCUCGUCGACGACACACACACACACACACACACACACGAAAACGCACGCACGAGUCACUGCUCUUUGACUUACUACCUCUCAACUACUGCUGCUGCUGACUCCUUUUCAACUUGGUCAUUCUGCUUCACUGUCUUUAUCUUUUUGUAUCAGUGUUUUAUCAGUGCUCUCUUCUAAUUUCGUUCGCAAUUCAACCCGCCGCUCCCCUCUGUCUCGCGCCCACCCAACCUCACCGACGGGAGCUUGGUCGACUCACUGUUGUUUUGCGCCACGGCUGCGGUGGGCGCUUCUUUCGUUCUUUGUUAUCAUUUUCUUGUAGUUUUUUUUUCGUGCGCGUGCGGUUCGUGGGCUUUCGUGAUCUGAGCUGCCUCCCUCUCUCUCAUUUUUUCUUUGGUUGUCUCUGUUUUCUGCGCUGCGGCUUCCCCAUCCACCCCCUUCUGCUGCCUUUCCGGCUCCUCAGGAGCACGUCCAGCCAGAGUUUCGUCUCUGUCCCACCGCCGCUCUUCGUCAUCUUGCCUACCAUUCGCUGAUCAUCUCUGUGCUUACUCUUCCUUUUUUGACGGUUUCUCUCCCGUCUGGCCAGAAACGCACUAAAAGAGACGCAGACGCGCGCCCACAGCUUUCUACUCUCCCUCCAGCCACAUCCAGAUUACAUACGCGCGCAUCGCUAUUCGCUUCCGGUUGCCUUCUCCACUUUCUCGAGCGACGCCAUUGACAUAGAUAGCGAGGUAGCCGCGGCCUCCGCUUGUUUGUGUGUUCGUUCGCGUCCGUGCAUGCAGCGCUAUCUUUCUCUCGUUGCUUACCUGUUCUACUUCUUUUUCUCAGGCGUUUUUUUUUCUGUUCGUUCGUUCUUGUGUCUUGGUGCCAGCGGCCUGCGAAGUAGUGAAGCAUCCGUAACGGUACGAGCACCUACCACGUAGGGGGAGGGGCUCAGCGGAAGCAGGAGGAGAGCACACACGCGAAAAGAAUAACGACGGCGUGAACACAGGCGCACGUUUCUGUUGUACUCAUUUUUUUUUCAUUUUUUUGUGUGUUUGUGUCUGUGUGAUCUCCCUCUUGUCUGCUCCCGCAUAUCCACCGUCACGCAGGCGACUUAGAACUAAAAGAGGGGGCUGCAAGAGCUGCGAGAACAAAGGGAAAGUCGAAAAAAAAAGUAGAACUGGCAGCUCAGCUCAAGGCAGUGUAGAGGUCAUCGUGACGUGGUGGGUGUGCUGUUGGAGUGGCUAGUGCAGAAAGGCGAGCAUCAACGCAUCAGCACCCCCGGCCCACACAUACGUUCAUCACGUCGUCUCUUUUUUUUCUCAGUGCCGCUGCGUAUUUUCCUCCUUUUACUCUCGCUCUGUGGCAAAAAGAAGACACCAGCACGCACACGCACACAGACAGCGCUCCGCUCCCACAUUUUAUUUUUCUUUCCACUUUACCUUGUUUACUUUUUUUUAGUGCUGUAGACUACGGGGCUCGUCUCUCCCUCUCUCUUCUUUGUUGUUUCCUCCGUCUUUUUGUUUAUCUUACUCUUUUGAUAUACAGCUAACUGAACUAAGUAAAAGACGGGACAGCGUGCGAAGAGGGCUCAAUCGGAAGUGACAAAUAGAGGCUACGGACGGUGCGAGCGUGAGGCCGUGCGAUCAACAUAGACAGAGAGCAAGAGCGAUUAAACAAAAUAAGAAAAAAAAACACAGAGGACCCGCACACGAGCUCAGCACAGCGCAUUGGAAUUGUCGCCGCCUCUGUGUCUCGCACUCUCUAUUUCGUCGCCUCCGUCUAAGGUGCACCCGUUCUCUCUGUCUCCUCUCUCCCGUCCCUCUCUCUCCGUGUUUGUGUGCAUCUGCGGUCGGUUGGAUUUGCGCGACUUUGGUUUCUUUGUUUUUUUUUCUUCCGCUUGUGUUGCGCGGCCUUUUUUCUCUUACUCGCCCCUCCUCUUCCGCUCAAGCUUUCGCUGUGAUCGCUUCGUUGCCGGAGUGCUCCUCUCAUUCGUCGGCGUUUUCUUUUUGCUUCACAGCUCGCACACACAUAUAUAUAUAUAUAUACUUGAUUUUGUUUUUCUCACCGUCUCCUUGUUUCGCCAUCCAAGCGGACGAAGUGGCAACGAAAAGGAGGAGAGGGCUGAACGCAAAGAGAUCGCUAAUACACACACAGGUGUGCGCUGCCUUCGUACACGCGCACACCUGAAAAUAGAAAGGCACCUUCAUUUGUAGGUGAGCCUAUUUUCAAGUCAGCUGAUUGAGUACGCAAGUACCCGAUAAAGCCACUUUUUUUUUGCUGUCUCGUUUCGCUUUCUUGCGUGACCUCCUCUUCCUCCUUGCUUUACACUUUCUCGUACGUGCUUGCGCGUGUGUCUCUCUCGAGCUCUGUUUGCCCAUUUAAAAAGGACAUAGGUGUGUGUGUGUGUGUUUGUGUGUGUAUGCUUGUAGCGCUACAGUCUGUUUCUGUGCGUGUAUUGAGAGACACACCAUAGCGUGUUGAUCUUGGGUCAGGUGUGUCUUCCGGGCUCAUCUCCCCACCUGCAGGGUAGCGUCUUGGCUCUGCAAACAUCAGGUGUGUUCAUUUUCUUAUUUCAGUAUAUUUUGCUCGUUUCGCUGGAUUGUAUAAGUGUGGCAUUCCGUUCUCUCUUUUUUCACCCUUUUUUUUCUUUGUGCGUGUGUGUGAAAAGUGUCGGUUCUGCAUUGUCUCCCUUUCCUCCCCCCCUCCCCUCUCCUCCCUCCACCGUUCUUCCUCCCCUUUCUUUCCUUUUGCUUGUCUCCUGAGUGUAGGCCGCCCUCCCCCUUUUUGUCUUUGUUCGUUUCGUUGGUGAGCAGGUCGUUUUUUAUAUUUCGUUUCCAUUUGUGGUUGUGUUGCCUCGAGCUUGUGCGCUUUUCUAUCAUUUGACUGCGCCUUCCUGUUACACCUAACUUCCUUGUGGUGGGGGGGCUGCGGUGUGUGUGUGUGUGUGUGUUGCGUACGGCCGCGAUGCUUUCCUCUUCUGAUCACAGAGAGGACAAGUCCCUGAGCAGCCAUGGAGCGGGCUCGUCGAGCAGGGUAGACGCGGCGGCCGCUGCGUCGAGUCCACCCACGAGCCCGUGCGCUUCUUCCUUUCCUGACGAGGGCGCAGUGGUGCCGCGAAGCUGCGAUCGCAACUCCUCCUCGUCGACGCGCCCGACGUCCCCGUGGCUGGAUCGCCGUAGUUCCACCUCCACAAGUCUAGACGCCGACGACGAGGCCGACGAGCAAUCUCCAGCGAAUCCGUCAGAGGCUGCGCCGACACCGUCGCCCUUGCCAGCGCUCACGUUGGACUACGGCCACCGUCAGCGGACAAGCGACGGCUUCCAGAACGCAUCCCAGCACGCCGCAAACGACACUGGUGAAGUUGCUGAUACGAAUCCCACAACAAACACAAAUCCAGAUAUGCAUGAACAGCUGCAGUCGGCCAUGCCUGCCGACGCCGCUGCAUCGAGGGCGAAGGGGAGUGGUGCACUCGUGCAGGCUCUUGUGCGGCGGAGGUCCAUGAAACCAGGUCCCUCGCCAAACUCGUCUCGCCUCGAGCUGGGAAGCAGCGAAACUGCACCCCACUUCUCGUCAAAGGCUUCCCUUUCCGAAGCUCUACUCCUCUCUGCGAAAGCUCGCGCUCCAUCGGCGCAGCCCACGAGUUCCACUACGCGCAGUCCCCCUGGCGAAGUGGCAGCAGCCACACGCGCUCCUGCUGCAAGUGCGGUGUCUACCGACUCAGUCGUACCCGCUCAGGCACAUAGGUCUCACGACGACAGCGACGACGCCACCAAUGGAAGUGGGACCUCAAGCCCGCCGGCCCUAUCCCCAUCACUUGCGACAGCGACGGCCGAGUCGCUGGGAGGCCUGCCAGUCCUGCAUACCUCUGGUACACCACCGUCUCCGCUGGCGAGGCGACUGCGACUGCCCUCGCGGACGGCGGUGGAGCUGCAGCACUUCGGCUGCUGCGUCUUCUUCUUCCCGGCCCCGUUUGUGUCGUGGCUGUUUCCACUGGUGGGUCACGUGGCCAUCAGCAACGCUGAAGGGUCGCGGCUGUACACGUUCGAGUCGUCCUACUACGUCCGGGAGGAAAAGCUCAUAUCGGUGCUGGAUCGCGUGCUGCGUGAAGAAGGGCAGGAGCAGCACACCGCCUCGCUGCUGCAAGAGGCCCCGCACUUGGGGAGCCGAGUGGACCUGUCCGCGCUCCCCAUGACGACCUCUCUGCACUCCUCUACGCGGUCACAACUGCCGGGGAUGCCAAUGGCAAGCGAUGCCUCGGCUUCAGACACAGCCGUGACGUCGCCAUCCGAUGCGAGUGCAGGGUCGCGGCUACGGUGCAGGACGACAAGUCCGGUGUUCCCUCCACACUGUAGUGCACGCCCACCGCGGCGCACGGGGCGUCCAAGGUCAGCGGCUAGCGCACCAGCUUCCGGCCACGCGCACACGCAGUGCGUCCGCAUUUGGGAUCUUAAGCCGCUGCUGAUGGAGAGUCGCGGACGUCGGACCCGUCGCACGCCGUGCGGGUUAACCACUCAGGGCGGUAAGCAAGCCGCUGCAGUGUUGUGGGAGCGCUUGCAGGAGCUGCUGCAACCGACAGAGGUCUCCACUGCAUCGAUGCAGAGAGCAUCGACUGCAGGCGGUGCCGCAAGUAAAGCAUCGUUGCCCACUCCCCCGACGUCGAGCGUGAAGCGUCGGUACGCGUCCGAGUACCACAGCGACGAUGCGGACGGCAUCCGGUCAGCUCCCGGCAUGAGCAGCAGUGGCGAAGAAGAUGGGGAGGAGUACGAACUGCUGGACGCAGAGACAGCUCGUUUCUACAACAGGAACCUUAAUGCAACCAUCCGCCUCUUCCGUGGCAGCGCUGACGGCAGCAUCAACUCGCCCGAUGUCGUGCUGCAGCACCACAGCUCCUUCUCUUUUGUGGGCUUCGUCCUGGAGGCGUGUGGUGUGGGUAGCCAGGGAAAGCCGAGUAGCUCUGUCUCCGCGCCGAAAUCACCCGCGAAGGAGGCAGCUAACAGUGGAAGUGCAGCUGCAUCCACAAGUCCCCCCGCUGCCACGAACAGGCCAACGACCGCUCCCGCAUCCGAUGACGCUGUGCCCGGCGAGAGCCUCAACUCUGAAGGGGAGAUUCACUGGGGUGUGAUGAAGUUGCUCUUUCACGUGUCCGUCUUUGGCAAGUGGCAUCGUGGUGAGCGACGCCUGUGGCGCGUGGUGCACGGCGGCAGCAUCACAAGUGCUUCCAUUCUCUGGGCGGCGAUCAUUGCCUUGGCGUACCACUACUUCACGAUCCUUUUCUUUUGAAAGAGGACCCGCGUUGCGUGAAUGGCUGGCUGUGGCAGCGGGGUGGCGGAACGGGAAAGAGGCGCAACCCAAGAACAGAUGGAGAGCGGGGGGUGGCGCCAGGCACGACGGAUCUCAAGUUCGACGAAUCGGAAGCCAAGGUAGUGUGAGGGGGGCGGAUAAGGAGGCACCACGCCUUUUUGUUUUCUGGUGUGCUGCGUCUAAAUGCUCCAAUACAGCGAUGUCCGCAUGGACUUACUCGGCAGGCUCUGCAAGAACAAACUCCCCACUCUUUUUGUCGAAAAUCUUCGCAGCCUCUGGAGAGCGGCUCAUCUCUCCACUGUCGCUGCUGUUUCUGCAGGUGGGAGGCUGCCAUUCCUCCACAAUUGUGUGGCUCGCUUUCUUCUUCCCCUCAUACCCCUUUCCACCGGAUGCUCGCUUGAUCACCAUGGGCUUUCUGUACUUUGCUGUUUACCCUUUUCCCCGCGUUUUGUCAAGCAUGCGUAUGUAUAUAUAUGUGUGUGUGUGUAUGUUUUUGCGGGCUUGCGUUGUGUGCCUGUCUCCUUACCUGUAUUUGGUUUGCUUCUUUACCCUUUCCUUCUUUUUGUGUUUCAUUCCCUGCUGCUUGCUGUUGCUGAUGCUGCCUCUGAUGACGAUGGUGGUGGUAGGCUGCACCAGUCCAUGGAUGCAUAUAUGCGUGCUGGUGCCUCUCUAUGCGGGUGCUCUUUCUUUCUCCUGUGUUAUCCGCUCUGUUUCCCACCGAUUAUGUCACUCUUCGCCUUUGCUCUUCUCUGGUGAUAUUAUGUCCGUGUGCAGCAGCGGCAGCAGCGGAGCCGGCAAGGCGCAAACCUCCGUCGGGGCUUUGAGGACACACGCUUUCAUCGUGAACGGCGGCAAAACGAGGACGGUACAUGUAUUUUCUCUGUCGCUUCCUUGCUUACGCUAGCGGGGCCUCGCUUUCUACGUUUCCUUCGCUUCCCUCCGUCGUUAUCGAGAAGGCAAGCUAUAGUG
This 6706-nucleotide unclassified non-coding RNA is filed under the name Leishmania donovani. Its description in RNAcentral is "gene:LdHU3.32.3800(CDS-product:Protein_of_unknown _function_(DUF778)_putative)". The record is from RNAcentral. Lineage: Eukaryota; Euglenozoa; Kinetoplastea; Trypanosomatida; Trypanosomatidae.